This 534-nucleotide ribosomal RNA is filed under the name Zelurus alcides. Its description in RNAcentral is "partial 16S ribosomal RNA". It matches the Rfam family "Bacterial large subunit ribosomal RNA", at positions 1808 to 2612 of the family's 2925-position model. The record is from RNAcentral. Lineage: Eukaryota; Metazoa; Arthropoda; Insecta; Hemiptera; Reduviidae.
CAAAAACAUGUCCUUUUGUAUAAUUUAUAUAAGGUCUGACCUGCCCAAUGAGUAGUUUAAUGGCCGCGGUAUUUUAACCGUGCUAAGGUAGCAUAAUCAUUUGUCUUUUAAUUGAGGGCUGGAAUGAAAGGUUGGACGAGGUAUAAGCUUUCUUUAAUUUAUUUUAUGAAUUUAAUUUUUGAGUUAAAAAGCUUAAAUUUUUUUAUUGGACGAGAAGACCCUAUAGAUCUUUAUAAUAAUUUUUUGUUAAUUAAUUUAGUGGAUUUAUUUAUUUUAAUUUAUUUUAUUAUUUUGUUGGGGUGACUGUGGAAUUUUUUUAACUUCUAUUUUUAUUUUUCAUUUAUUAGUGUUUAAUUGAUCCAUGAUUCAUGAUUAUAAGAUUAAGUUACCUUAGGGAUAACAGCGUAAUUUUUUCGGAGAGUUCAUAUCGAUGAAGGAGUUUGCGACCUCGAUGUUGGAUUAAAAUAAGCGUUAAAUGUAGCAGUUUAAUAGCUAGGUCUGUUCGACCUUUAAAUUUUUACAUGAUCUGAGUUC